Non-coding RNA from Triticum urartu, 134 nucleotides. Lineage: Eukaryota; Viridiplantae; Streptophyta; Magnoliopsida; Poales; Poaceae. The record is from Rfam.
AAUUUACUUCCUCCAUUCCAAAUUACUUGUCUUAGAUUUGUCUAGAUACAGAUAUAUCUAACACUGAAAUGAGUCUAGAUACAUCCGUAUCUAGACAAAUUCAAGACAAGUAAUUCGGAACGGAGGAGUAAAUA